AGUGAAUAGAUACCCAGGUAGUCCUAGCCGUAAACGAUACUCGCUAGGUGUCGGCCACGGUGCGACCGUUGUCGGUGCCGUAGGGAAAGCCGUGAAGCGAGCCACCUGGGAAGUACGGCCGCAAGGCUGAAACUUAAAGGAAUUGGCGGGGGAGCACCACAACGGGUGGAGCUUGCGGUUUAAAUUGGAUUCAACGCCGGAAAUCUUACCGGGACCGACAGCAAUAUGAAGGCCAGGCUGAAGACUUUGCCGGAUUAGCUGAGAGGUGGUGCAUGGCCGUCGUCAGUUCGUACUGUGAAGCAUCCUGUUAAGUCAGGCAACGAGCGAGACCCACGCCCACAGUUGCCAGCGUACUCUCCGGAGUGACGGGUACACUGUGGGGACCGCCGCUGCUAAAGCGGAGGAAGGAAUGGGCAACGGUAGGUCAGUAUGCCCCGAAUAUCCCGGGCUACACGCGAGCUACAAUGGUUGGUACAAUGGGUAUCUACCCCGAAAGGGGAUGGUAAUCUCCUAAAGCCAAUCUUAGUUCGGAUUGAGGGCU
Molecule: ribosomal RNA, 541 nt
Filed under: uncultured bacterium
Lineage: Bacteria
Description: bacterial SSU rRNA
Rfam family: Archaeal small subunit ribosomal RNA
Source: RNAcentral